ACUCCUACGGGAGGCAGCAGUGGGGAAUUUUGCGCAAUGGGCGAAAGCCUGACGCAGCAACGCCGCGUGAGUGAUGAAGGCUUUCGGGUCGUAAAGCUCUGUCAGGAGGAAAGAAGUGUAUUGUGGCUAAUAUCCACGAUACUUGACGGUACCCCCAAAGGAAGCACCGGCUAACUCCGUGCCAGCAGCCGCGGUAAUACGGAGGGUGCAAGCGUUGUUCGGAUUUAUUGGGCGUAAAGCGCGUGUAGGCGGUUUCUUUAGUCUGAUGUGAAAGCCCCGGGCUCAACCCGGGAAGUGCAUUGGAAACUGGCAGACUUGAAUACGGGAGAGGGUAGUAGAAUUCCUAGUGUAGGAGUGAAAUCCGUAGAUAUUAGGAGGAACACCGGUGGCGAAGGCGGCUGCCUGGACCGAUAUUGACGCUGAGACGCGAAAGCGUGGGUAGCAAACAGGAUUAGAUACCCUGGUAGUCCACGCCGUAAACGAUGAGAACUAGGUGUCGCGGGUAA
Molecule: ribosomal RNA, 506 nt
Filed under: uncultured Geobacter sp.
Lineage: Bacteria; Pseudomonadati; Thermodesulfobacteriota; Desulfuromonadia; Geobacterales; Geobacteraceae
Description: bacterial SSU rRNA
Rfam family: Bacterial small subunit ribosomal RNA
Source: RNAcentral